UCUAAGUAUAACCUGCCAGACAGGGAAACUGCGUACGGCUCAUUACACCAGCCUUAAUUUACUUGACCUUGACGACCUACUUGGAUAACUGUGGUAAUUCUAGAGCUAAUACAUGCACCAAAGCUCCGAUCCUCGCGGAGAGGAGCGCAUUUGUUCGCCACAAAACCAAGCGCCCAUCUGGGCGUCCAGUGCUGAACCAGAACAACUCAGCUGAUCGCACGGUCUUGUACCGGCGACGUGUCUUUCAAGUGUCUGCCUUAUCAACUUUCGAUGGUAGUGUACCUGACUACCAUGGUUGUGACGGGUAACGGAGGAUAAGGGUUCGACUCCGGAGAAGGGGCCUGAGAAAUGGCCACUACGUCUAAGGAUGGCAGCAGGCGCGCAAAUUACCCACUCUCAACGCGAGGAGGUACUGACGAGAAAUAACGAGACCGUUCUCAUACGAGGCCGGUUAUUGGAAUGGGUACAAUUUAAA
Molecule: ribosomal RNA, 475 nt
Filed under: unidentified nematode Sourhope farm
Lineage: Eukaryota; Metazoa; Nematoda
Description: SSU rRNA
Rfam family: Eukaryotic small subunit ribosomal RNA
Source: RNAcentral